AGUGAACGCUGGCGGCAGGCCUAACACAUGCAAGUCGAGCGGCAGCGGGUCCUUCGGGCUGCCGGCGAGCGGCGGACGGGUGAGGAAUGCGUCGGAAUCUGCCUUUUUGUGGGGGAUAACGUAGGGAAACUUACGCUAAUACCGCAUACGACCUACGGGUGAAAGUGGGGGACCGCAAGGCCUCACGCAGAAAGAUGAGCCGACGUCGGAUUAGCUAGUUGGCGGGGUAAAGGCCCACCAAGGCGACGAUCCGUAGCUGGCCUGAGAGGAUGAUCAGCCACACUGGAACUGAGACACGGUCCAGACUCCUACGGGAGGCAGCAGUGGGGAAUAUUGGACAAUGGGCGCAAGCCUGAUCCAGCCAUGCCGCGUGUGUGAAGAAGGCCUUCGGGUUGUAAAGCACUUUUGUCCGGAAAGAAAUCCUGUCGGCUAAUACCCGGCGGGGAUGACGGUACCGGAAGAAUAAGCACCGGCUAACUUCGUG
Molecule: ribosomal RNA, 484 nt
Filed under: uncultured bacterium
Lineage: Bacteria
Description: partial 16S ribosomal RNA
Rfam family: Bacterial small subunit ribosomal RNA
Source: RNAcentral